RNAcentral lists this ribosomal RNA (254 nucleotides) under uncultured bacterium. Its description in RNAcentral is "partial 16S ribosomal RNA". It matches the Rfam family "Bacterial small subunit ribosomal RNA", at positions 524 to 776 of the family's 1533-position model. The record is from RNAcentral.
UGCGUAGGGUGCAAGCGUUAAUCGGAAUUACUGGGCGUAAAGCGUGCGUAGGCGGUUCGUUAAGUCUGUUGUGAAAGCCCCCGGGCUCAACCUGGGAAUGGCAAUGGAUACUGGCGAGCUAGAGUGUGUCAGAGGAUGGUGGAAUUCCCGGUGUAGCGGUGAAAUGCGUAGAGAUCGGGAGGAACAUCAGUGGCGAAGGCGGCCAUCUGGGACAACACUGACGCUGAGGCACGAAAGCGUGGGGAGCAAACAGG